This 332-nucleotide ribosomal RNA is filed under the name uncultured microorganism. RNAcentral's name for it is "bacterial SSU rRNA". It matches the Rfam family "Bacterial small subunit ribosomal RNA", at positions 9 to 322 of the family's 1533-position model. The record is from RNAcentral.
GAGUUUGAUCCUGGCUCAGGAUGAACGCUGGCGGCGUGCUUAACACAUGCAAGUCGAACGGGAUGGUACAGGCGGAAGAUUUCGGUCGGACCAAGUGCAUGCCUAGUGGCGGACGGGUGAGUAACGCGUGGGUAACCUGCCUUACACAGGGGGAUAACACUUAGAAAUAGGUGCUAAUACCGCAUGAGCGCACAGGACCGCAUGGUCGAGUGUGAAAAACUGAGGUGGUGUAAGAUGGACCCGCGUCUGAUUAGCUAGUUGGUGAGGUAACGGCCCACCAAGGCGACGAUCAGUAGCCGGCCUGAGAGGGUGGACGGCCACAUUGGGACUGA